RNAcentral lists this unclassified non-coding RNA (288 nucleotides) under Hevea brasiliensis (rubber tree). Lineage: Eukaryota; Viridiplantae; Streptophyta; Magnoliopsida; Malpighiales; Euphorbiaceae. The record is from RNAcentral.
GUCCAUUACAUGCAAUGUUUCAGCUUUUGCAGGCGUUUUCAGCUGACGAUCAGUAACAAGUUCAACACCUAACAUCAGUCCUCUUCCCCUCACAUCUCCAAUAAGUUCAUAUUUGUCCUUCAAAGCAGUGAGCCUAUCUUUCAGAUAUGUGCCAACGACAAGGGCGUUCUCCUGAAGCUUUUCCUUCUCAAUCACUCUCAAAACAGCUAGUCCAGCAGCAGUACAGACAGGGUUCCCACCAAAAGUAUUGAAAUAACUGCUACGAGUCAAAACCUCUGCUAUCUCCGG